UCAAAAAGUUUCUCUAUUUUUAACGGUACUGCGGUAGGGGCUUUCAGAACAUUAUUCUGCUGUUUAUGUAGGCAUUAUCUUUUUAUUUGGUUAUCUGGGUCAUCUCAGUAACUGAACAUGAUUGUGUAAUAGACUUCACAGCUGGAAGACACAUGCUGUUUACAACUGUAAUCUUGAGACUUGCAAGGAAUGCAGGAAGUCCGAAACGUUAAAGGCUGGCGCUAUCUUUCCUCCUUCACCCCACUUCCUCACCCUGCAAGUCUCAAGAUUACAGCCAAGAACUAUAAUAGUUUGUCUAUUUCCAGACCAAGUUUUGGAUUUGCUUCAUUAUUCAGUGGUAUACUAUGUGUUUAAUCCUGUGGUACAUAUCAAAUGGAUACUUUUUUAUCACAGCAUGGUACAUUCACAGGUUGCAGAUAUACUUGUGAAUAUAUUUACUAGAUCAACAAAUGUUGAAUAUAACAUCAGAUUUGAAUGCAUUAUUUGGAGAUAGGCUCUGGGUACAGUCCAUGACAGACUGCUGUGAAUAUGGUAACGAUAUUUCAGGUUCUAUUAAAGUUGAAAUUUCAUGACUACUUGAGCAAGGACUUAAUCCAUGUAGUUAUGUACACCUAUGUGUGAAAGACCCUUGGAGUUACCUGCAUAUUGUCAACUGGUGUACAGGGAUCAUCAGUAUGAUGCCCCUAACUGCGCAGGUACCACUAGUAAUGGUGGUAACAGAUUACAUGACUCCUUCAUGAAAGUGUCCCUAUGCUUAUCACUGUGAUAUGCUAUUGGGUGUCUGGAAAUACAUUCCUAAUCAUGAAAUUUAUUUGAAAGUUUGUUCUUAGCUUCAUGCUUUUUCCCCUGGUAUAAAGAAUCUCUGAUACCCAUCGGAUACUAGAAUGUGUGUGAAACCCAAUGGCACUUCAUGUUGAAGAGAAAAAUAUCCCAAUGCCCUAGGUCUCCAGAAACUGUCAACAGUUUCCAAUCAACCAAAUAUUAAUGAGUAUGAAAUGAUACGUAACAGAUCAGAUUAUACCGACUGUAAUUCCAUCUGUUUAUAUUACUGUACAGCUGUAAGAUUCUUGCAAGAAAUAACAGCUGGCUAGGCAAGCAGAAUAUUUGGAUCUAAGUAAGAGAAAGUACCGGGAGGUUGGAAAAAGUUUAAUAAUGAGCAGUUUCAUAAUUUAUGCUCAACAUAUCUUCUUAGGAUGAAGGAAGGGAUAAUGAAAUGGGCAUGUAGAAAUGCAGAUAGAAUUUUAGUGUCAAAAGCUGAAGGGAACAGACCAUUUGGAAGAUGGAAGGAUGCUAUUAGAAUAGAUUUUAAAUAAACUGAGUUUGGGAAUACGUUUUAGAGUCAUCUGUCUGACGUAUAAGGCCUGGUGACACGCUUGUGAACAUGGUAAUUUUUUAUGAAACAUGCGUAGUUAGGAAGAGAUGUCCUGCAUACUGUACUAUCUUUUGACAAAUACAGUGGAUUCCGUUUAAUUGGGACACAUCAGGAAAAGAACACUUUGGCCCAAUUAAGCGAAGUUCCAUGUAAAGAGUUAAAUAGGUUUGUUCUUCAAGAUUUGUCCCAAAUAAACGGCUGCCCCGAUUAAAUGGAAUCUACUGUAUAUGGAACUACUUAUGUGGUUGUUCUGAUUGCCAAUGAGGAGUAGGGCAUUUGUCCUUUAUUAAAAACGUGCACUGAUUGUCAUCCCUGUUGGUAUCAUAAUAUCAAAAGAUUGCUGAGAUGUAAGACUGAAGAUUUCUUUUGGGUGCUAAAGUAGGUUAAGGCAUGAUAUUAAAUUUGGGUGAAUAUGUUCUAAAUUUUUACAUGUACAGCAUAAAUUUUUAAUGCUUCUAAUCAAAUAUAGAUGGCUGUAUAUUCUUCUGCUUUAGCUGUAGAAAAUCCAGGUUCCCAGUCACUAUGAAGAAGCCUUAUGUUAUUUCAUACCCAGUUAUUUUUACUGUCUUGUCUGCCAACAGGUUUUAUGCACAUCACUUAACUUGACAUACAUGUUUCAUCCCUGCAGUGGUUCAGCCAGCUUUUCCUAGGCAGACUUAACUUGAAGCCUGGGCAAACCAGGUUUCCAAUGCAGGUGUCCAGAUAAAAUUAAAGGGAUCAGGCUGUUAUUCUUUGCCCAUGCCAACUCAAGUCACUAGGGCCUAAGUGAUGUGUUAGUCUCAACUACAAGCAAUUCAGCUUUAUCCUGAAGCUAUGCAUCUUUAACCUGUCACCAGCCAAGAGAUUAUUUCCAUCCACUUCUGAAAAACUAUGUAACUAUGACAUAUAUCUUAGAGUAAAAAAGUUGCUUUUCUGCUCUCAAAACUAAUUGCCUAAUAAAGUAUUGUAACACAUUA
Zootermopsis nevadensis is the source of this 2328-nucleotide non-coding RNA. NCBI's taxonomy places the organism in Eukaryota, Metazoa, Arthropoda, Insecta, Blattodea, Termopsidae. The record is from RefSeq and is a predicted model, not a curated record.